This 87-nucleotide small nucleolar RNA is filed under the name Sorex araneus (European shrew). RNAcentral describes it as "Small nucleolar RNA U13 (ENSSARG00000018692.1)". Lineage: Eukaryota; Metazoa; Chordata; Mammalia; Eulipotyphla; Soricidae. The record is from RNAcentral.
AUUAUUUUUGGCUUAUAAGCAUGAUGAUCAGGUGUCACACGUAUGUGUGACAUGUGCCUCCCUUAAAUCUGAUACAUACAACUGACA